Molecule: ribosomal RNA, 503 nt
Filed under: uncultured bacterium
Lineage: Bacteria
Description: partial 16S ribosomal RNA
Rfam family: Bacterial small subunit ribosomal RNA
Source: RNAcentral
UGGGGAAUUUUGGACAAUGGGCGAAAGCCUGAUCCAGCAAUGCCGCGUGUGUGAAGAAGGCCUUCGGGUUGUAAAGCACUUUUGUCCGGAAAGAAAUGGCUCUGGUUAAUACCUGGGGUCGAUGACGGUACCGGAAGAAUAAGGACCGGCUAACUACGUGCCAGCAGCCGCGGUAAUACGUAGGGUCCAAGCGUUAAUCGGAAUUACUGGGCGUAAAGCGUGCGCAGGCGGUUGUGCAAGACCGAUGUGAAAUCCCCGAGCUUAACUUGGGAAUUGCAUUGGUGACUGCACGGCUAGAGUGUGUCAGAGGGGGGUUAGAAUUCCACGUGUAGCAGUGAAAUGCGUAGAGAUGUGGAGGAAUACCGAUGGGCGAAGGCAGCCCCCUGGGAUAACACUGACGCUCAUGCACGAAAGCGUGGGGAGCAAACAGGAUUAGAUACCCCUGGUAGUCCACGCCCUAAACGAUGUCAACUAGUUGUUGGGGAUUCAUUUCCUUAGUAACG